AGUUCAAAAGAUAUGCAAGUAUGAUUAAUAACACAUCUGUUUUACCUUUUCUUCCAAUUUUAUGAUACACAUCUGGUGAACUUUUUAAUAUUCUUAAGACAAAUAAAGAUCGCCCUUACUGAAUUGAAGGGAUGAAAGCACGGUCCUCCUCCCCGCCCGUCCACGUUCAUGUCCCAGACUCAACAUCUGUGCAUGUCCACCUGAAGAAGAGUCCACAGAAGAGCCAGCAGGGGAAAGUGAAGCCAUUUACGAUCCACAGCCAGUGUGAAGGUCCGAGCUCCCUGGGUUCCUCCUGGAAAGGCUUCAAGACGAAGAGAAUACAAAUGGGAGGGGGCUACUCGUGGCUUGGACAUAACCAGGGACGGGCCACUGACCCUUCUUCACCUCCUCUGCAGCUCACUGACCUGUCCAGUAAAGAGGUCGAUGCGAGAGGAGUAAUCGACAAAUAUGAGAGAAAAAUUGAAAGUCUAAUGUCAGAGGUUGAUUGUAUAAAAAGUGAGGUGAAGUUACGGCAGGCAGAGGACCACUUAAAGCACCAGUCACAGCAGUUGAGCGCC
This 557-nucleotide long non-coding RNA is filed under the name Carassius auratus (goldfish). RNAcentral describes it as "lncRNA (ENSCARG00000041998.1)". The record is from RNAcentral. Lineage: Eukaryota; Metazoa; Chordata; Actinopteri; Cypriniformes; Cyprinidae.